This 548-nucleotide ribosomal RNA is filed under the name uncultured bacterium. Its description in RNAcentral is "bacterial SSU rRNA". It matches the Rfam family "Bacterial small subunit ribosomal RNA", at positions 355 to 896 of the family's 1533-position model. The record is from RNAcentral.
CUAAGAAUCUUCCGCAAUGGGCGAAAGCCUGACGGAGCGACGCCGCGUGGGUGAUGAAGGCCUAACGGUUGUAAAGCCCUUUUCUGCGUGAGGAAUAAGGACAGGAGGCAAUGCCUGUCUGAUGACGGUAGCGCAGGAAUAAGCCCCGGCCAAUUACGUGCCAGCAGCCGCGGUAACACGUAUGGGGCGAGCGCUGUUCGGAAUCAUUGGGCGUAAAGGGCGCGCAGGCGGCUAUGUAAGUCUGGUGUGAAAGACCGCAGCUCAACUGCGGGCACGCGCUGGAAACUAUGUAGCUUGAGUUCUGGAGGGGAAGCUGAAAUUCCAGGUGUAGGGGUGAAAUCUGUAGAUAUCUGGAAGAACAUCGGCGGCGAAGGCGAGCUUCUGGCCAUGAACUGACGCUGAGGCGCGAAAGCGUGGGGAGCGAACAGGAUUAGAUACCCUGGUAGUCCACGCUGUAGACGAUGUGCACUAGGUGUUGGGCCGCUGAAGGCUCAGUGCCGGAGUUAACGCGUUAAGUGCACCGCCUGGGGAGUAUGCCCGCAAGGGUA